Molecule: transfer RNA, 72 nt
Filed under: Nanobdellota archaeon
Lineage: Archaea; Nanobdellati; Nanobdellota
Description: tRNA-Tyr
Rfam family: tRNA
About the family: Transfer RNA (tRNA) molecules are approximately 80 nucleotides in length. Their secondary structure includes four short double-helical elements and three loops (D, anti-codon, and T loops).
Source: RNAcentral
CCUUUUGUAGCUCAAUGGCUAGAGCGGUCGGCUGUAGACCAAUAGAUCCCGGUUCAAGUCCGGGCAGAAGGA